GACGAACGCUGGCGGCGUGCCUAAUACAUGCAAGUAGAACGCUGAAGAGAGGAGCUUGCUCUUCUUGGAUGAGUUGCGAACGGGUGAGUAACGCGUAGGUAACCUGCCUUGUAGCGGGGGAUAACUAUUGGAAACGAUAGCUAAUACCGCAUAACAAUGGAUGACACAUGUCAUUUAUUUGAAAGGGGCAAUUGCUCCACUACAAGAUGGACCUGCGUUGUAUUAGCUAGUAGGUGAGGUAAUGGCUCACCUAGGCGACGAUACAUAGCCGACCUGAGAGGGUGAUCGGCCACACUGGGACUGAGACACGGCCCAGACUCCUACGGGAGGCAGCAGUAGGGAAUCUUCGGCAAUGGGGGCAACCCUGACCGAGCAACGCCGCGUGAGUGAAGAAGGUUUUCGGAUCGUAAAGCUCUGUUGUAAGUCAAGAACGGGUGUGAGAGUGGAAAGUUCACACUGUGACGGUAGCUUACCAGAAAGGGACGGCUAACUACGUGCCAGCAGCCGCGGUAAUACGUAGGUCCCGAGCGUUGUCCGGAUUUAUUGGGCGUAAAGCGAGCGCAGGCGGUUUGAUAAGUCUGAAGUUAAAGGCUGUGGCUCAACCAUAGUUCGCUUUGGAAACUGUCAAACUUGAGUGCAGAAGGGGAGAGUGGAAUUCCAUGUGUAGCGGUGAAAUGCGUAGAUAUAUGGAGGAACACCGGUGGCGAAAGCGGCUCUCUGGUCUGUAACUGACGCUGAGGCUCGAAAGCGUGGGGAGCGAACAGGAUUAGAUACCCUGGUAGUCCACGCCGUAAACGAUGAGUGCUAGGUGUUGGAUCCUUUCCGGGAUUCAGUGCCGCAGCUAACGCAUUAAGCACUCCGCCUGGGGAGUACGACCGCAAGGUUGAAACUCAAAGGAAUUGACGGGGGCCCGCACAAGCGGUGGAGCAUGUGGUUUAAUUCGAAGCAACGCGAAGAACCUUACCAGGUCUUGACAUCCCGAUGCUAUUUCUAGAGAUAGAAAGUUACUUCGGUACAUCGGUGACAGGUGGUGCAUGGUUGUCGUCAGCUCGUGUCGUGAGAUGUUGGGUUAAGUCCCGCAACGAGCGCAACCCCUAUUGUUAGUUGCCAUCAUUCAGUUGGGCACUCUAGCGAGACUGCCGGUAAUAAACCGGAGGAAGGUGGGGAUGACGUCAAAUCAUCAUGCCCCUUAUGACCUGGGCUACACACGUGCUACAAUGGUUGGUACAACGAGUUGCGAGUCGGUGACGGCGAGCUAAUCUCUUAAAGCCAAUCUCAGUUCGGGUUGUAGGCUGCAACUCGCCUACAUGAAGUCGGAAUCGCUAGUAAUCGCGGAUCAGCACGCCGCGGUGAAUACGUUCCCGGGCCUUGUACACACCGCCCGUCACACCACGAGAGUUUGUAACACCCGAAGUCGGUGAGGUAACCUUUUGGAGCCAGCCGCCUAAGGUGGGACAGAUGAUUGGGGUGAAG
RNAcentral lists this ribosomal RNA (1473 nucleotides) under Streptococcus thermophilus. Its description in RNAcentral is "bacterial SSU rRNA". It matches the Rfam family "Bacterial small subunit ribosomal RNA". Lineage: Bacteria; Bacillati; Bacillota; Bacilli; Lactobacillales; Streptococcaceae. The record is from RNAcentral.